CUCAAAAUGCAUUCUUCAGAGGUGUUCUGAAGACGCAGAUCCCGAUAUUAACUUACCAAGGUGGAUCAGUGGAAGCUGCUCAGGCAUUCCUUUGCAAAGAUGGGGACCCGCAGACACCUAGAUUUGACCACCUGGUGGCCAUAGAACGUGCCGGAAGGGCUGCCGAUGGCAAUUACUACAAUGCAAGGAAGAUGAACAUCAAGCACUUGGUUGACCCCAUUGACGAUCUUUUUCUUGCUGCGAAGAAGAUUCCUGGAAUCUCAUCAACUGGAGUCGGUGAUGGAGGCAACGAGCUUGGGAUGGGUAAAGUCAAGGAGGCUGUGAGGAGGCACAUACGGCACGGGGAUGUCAUCGCCUGCGACGUGGAGGCUGACUUUGCCGUCAUUGCUGGUGUUUCUAACUGGGGAGGCUAUGCCCUGGCCUGCGCACUCUACAUCCUGUACUCAUGUGCUGUCCACAGUCAGUACCUGAGGAAAGCAGUGGGACCCUCCAGGGCACCUGGAGAUCAGGCCUGGACUCAGGCCCUCCCGUCGGUCAUUAAGGUAACAAACCCCAGCCAGCCGCUCGCCUGGAAGCAGCUUUUACCCUGGAUGAGCAGCAGGCCUGAGGUCCCAAGCCGUAAGCCGAGGGCUGGCACCCUGCUGCCCCUCAAAAGCCAGAGGCAGAGCCAGCCUUAAAGCAAAGGUCUCCUGGAUUGGGUGCCCUUUAAGCUACUCGCGGUUCUGAAUCGUGUGGCAGGCCUGAUCCAAGUGACCAUUUUCCUUCUAGUCUGACUUUGG
This 779-nucleotide small RNA is filed under the name Pan troglodytes (chimpanzee). Its description in RNAcentral is "processed transcript". The record is from RNAcentral. Lineage: Eukaryota; Metazoa; Chordata; Mammalia; Primates; Hominidae.